RNAcentral lists this ribosomal RNA (885 nucleotides) under Vamsapriya sp. RNAcentral describes it as "partial large subunit ribosomal RNA". It matches the Rfam family "Eukaryotic large subunit ribosomal RNA", at positions 36 to 948 of the family's 3401-position model. Lineage: Eukaryota; Fungi; Ascomycota; Sordariomycetes; Xylariales; Vamsapriyaceae. The record is from RNAcentral.
UAGCAUAUCAAUAAGCGGAGGAAAAGAAACCAACAGGGAUUGCCCUAGUAACGGCGAGUGAAGCGGCAACAGCUCAAAUUUGAAAGCUGGCCUUCUGGUCCGCAUUGUAAUUUGUAGAGGAAGCUUUUGGCGCGGUGCCUUCCGAGUUCCCUGGAACGGGACGCCUUAGAGGGUGAGAGCCCCGUACGGUCGGACACUAAGCCUCUGUAAAGCUCUUUCGACGAGUCGAGUAGUUUGGGAAUGCUGCUCUAAAUGGGAGGUAAAUUUCUUCUAAAGCUAAAUACCGGCCAGAGACCGAUAGCGCACAAGUAGAGUGAUCGAAAGAUGAAAAGCACUUUGAAAAGAGGGUUAAAUAGCACGUGAAAUUGUUGAAAGGGAAGCGUUUGCGAUCAGACCUUUGCCGGGCGGAUCACCCGGUGUACUCACCGGUGCACUUCGCCCGGCGGCUGCCAGCAUCGGUUUCCGCAGGGGGAUAAAAGCUUGGGGAAAGUAGCUCCCCCGGGAGUGUUAUAGCCCCUUGCAUAAUACCCUUGCGGGGACCGAGGACCGCGCUUUUGCAAGGAUGCUGGCAUAAUGGUCGUUAACGACCCGUCUUGAAACACGGACCAAGGAGUCGAACAUUUGUGCGAGUGUUUGGGUGUCAAACCCUCACGCGUAAUGAAAGUGAACGGAGGUGAGAGCCCUUACGGGUGCAUCAUCGACCGAUCCUGAUGUCUUCGGAUGGAUUUGAGUAAGAGCAUAACUGUUCGGACCCGAAAGAUGGUGAACUAUGCGUGGAUAGGGUGAAGCCAGAGGAAACUCUGGUGGAGGCUCGCAGCGGUUCUGACGUGCAAAUCGAUCGUCAAAUCUGCGCAUGGGGGCGAAAGACUAAUCGAACCAUCUAGU